This 2084-nucleotide long non-coding RNA is filed under the name Nicotiana benthamiana. RNAcentral's name for it is "long non-coding RNA (NBEN_LNC010554)". The record is from RNAcentral. Lineage: Eukaryota; Viridiplantae; Streptophyta; Magnoliopsida; Solanales; Solanaceae.
UUCAGUUAAGUUCUUUCAAUAUUUACAGUACCCAAAACAAUUGAAAAUUGAAUCUCAAAAAUCACAUCAAAGUCUCCUACAAGGCCCAGGCAUUUCACACUUAGUCACAGAUAGGAUGUAGAAAAUACAAAGAAUUAUUAUUAUCCAAAUCUUAAUUUCUUUCGAGUUGUGUCAAUAGAUCAAUUUCGUCUCCAAAAAUAUCAUUAUGUACUUGCACCUCACAUAAAUUCCUAAGAGCAUAUCAAUCACUAAUCACUAAUAACUUUGAGCCAUUUUAACAACAAUUAAGACAUGCAAAUAUUACCAAGCACAUCUAUUUAUUUCAACCAAAGCUAAAACAGAUAUAGGACAUAUUAAUGUGACUGAGUCCCUCACAUGACAUUGCAAUUGUUUAGGAUAGAAAUCGACUAAGCAUACAUGAUGAAUCAAGAAUCUACGACACCCAGCUACGUAAAGAAACUGCAAAUAAGACUAUUCCAACUUUGUUUCCAUUUCAUCCUUCAAAUUUGACUUGACAUUGGGAGAGAUCAGGAAAGGUGUACCUGGGAAUGAACAGACAAAGGGAAAAGUGAGAAAUUGACAGUAUUAAGUGCAGAAAUCAGCACCAUCAACAGAACAACCCAGAUUCAACCAAAACUAGCAAGUCAAUCCAGAAGAAAGAAACCAAUCAAGUAAUUUAAACAAGAUAUUUAACUACCUAAGCUUAAAUUAUUUUUAACAUCAAAUAGAAUCAGAUGUUGUUCAUAAAUGAAAAACUUCAAAGUUCAAAGCAAAAAUUUCAAUGGAACAGUAUUUUCUCCAAAUUUUCAGUCGUUUGUCAUUUUUAGAAUUUUCUAUCUCUUCUUCUAUGCCUUGAAUGCCAUGUUAGAGUGCCUUUAUAGGCAAGGCACUAGGGAAACUUAAUGAGAAACAAAUCUUCACUUAGACCUCUUUUAAAAUUUGAUUUAAAUUUAGAAAACCUUAGGCAAUUUUCAAAAAUUCAAAAUAGUCCAAAAGUUAUCUUCCAAGAAGCUUCCCUUUCAGUUAUUCCCUAGAUUUCCUAAACCAAUUACCUAUAUUACCCUUUUAAAACCCAUGUUAAUUACCCCUGGACCAUGCAAGCAUAUGGGUCAGGCUGGCCCAAAGAACUAAGGCAGCCAUGUACUUGAUUGGAACACCGGAUUCUUGCUCAUUUGGGCUUUCUAUUUCUCAAAGCAGAUUCAAGCUGUAAUCUACAAUCAAAACUCUUAACAUGCUAAUGCACGAAAUCGCAGAAGAAGACCAUCAGUUCUUAAAAAUUAGACCUAAACUAAAAUCAACAUGCAAUGUACUAACUAAUCUUAAUGGGAGGAUAAAGCGAACAAACGAAACUUUUAAACAAACUAAAUCGUGCAAACGGAGUACAUGAGAACCAACAUGCAAGAUUGACGGAAAAGAAACAAAAAAUCAUAAAAGAAAUAACAUCCAGAAAAAGAGAAAGAAUAAGCAAACAAUGAAGCAGGAAUAGAAAUAAAUAUCAACAGACAAAAUAAAUGAUAAAAAAUGAAUCAAAUAUCUAGAACUGCUUUUGGUCCAACAAACAAAGAAAAGAGACUAAAAAUCUUCGAAUUUUUCGCCGCCCUUGAUUUUAAUCAUGUGUUCUUAACAAGACACACGAAUAACAUCAAGGUUAGCCCAAAUCUUCAAAAACCCAGUUCCAGGGCUUUGGGGAUUUUAGGGUCCACCCCUUCGAUCUGAAAUUUUAGGAGUUCCGGAGUGAUUCAAAGGAAAGUAUUGGUGGAUUUGGUAUGGAUGGGUCAUACGGAUUUCAGGGUGUGAGUUUCGUGGGGUUAGAAGGUGGUGCCGCCACCGGAGAAAGCUUAGUGGCGCUAGGGUUCCGCCCUUUGAUUCUAGAAUCUCGGCGGUUUCAAGGGGAUUCGAGGUAGAUAGGGUGGGGAUUUGGGAUAGGAGAUGAAAAGGGAUGUCUGGUGCGAUUUUUGGAUUGAUUGGCCACCGGCCUCCUCUGUACGCGAUUUCGGGCGGACGGUAGACCGCGGAUGGUGAUGUAUGGCAGAUUCUCUAAAGGGGACAGUGAGGGGCUGGGGGGGUAAGUAUUUUAAGACAUA